RNAcentral lists this long non-coding RNA (1724 nucleotides) under Salmo salar (Atlantic salmon). RNAcentral describes it as "lncRNA (ENSSSAG00000107182.1)". Lineage: Eukaryota; Metazoa; Chordata; Actinopteri; Salmoniformes; Salmonidae. The record is from RNAcentral.
CAGGUUAAGGGUAGAUAUGGAGUUAGGAGGCAGGAGCAGGUAAAGGGUAGAUAUGUAGUUAGAAGGCAGGUUAAGGGUAGAUAUGGAGUUAGGAGGCAGGAGCAGGUGAAGGGUAGAUAUGGAGGCAGGAGCAGAUAAAGGGUAGAUAUGGAGACAGGAGCAGAUAAAGGGUAGAUAUGGAGGCAGGAGCAGAUAAAGGGUAGAUAUGGAGGCAGGAGCAGGUAAAGGGUAGAUAUGGAGGCAGGAGCAGGUUAAGGGUAGAUAUGGAGUUAGGAGGCAGGAGCAGGUAAAGGGUAGAUAUGGAGGUAGGAGCAGGUAAAGGGUAGAUAUGGAGGCAGGAGGCAGGUUAAGGGUAGAUAUGUAGUUAGGAGGCAGGAGCAGGUAAAGGGUAGAUAUGGAGGCAGGAGCAGGUAAAGGGUAGAUAUGGAGGCAGGAGCAUGUAAAGCGUAGAUAUGGAGUUAGGAGGCAGGAGCAGGCAAAGGGUAGAUAUGUAGUUUGGAGGCAGGUUAAGGGUAGAUAUGGAGUUAGGAGACAGGAGCAGGUAAAGGGUAGAUAUGGAGGCAGGAGCAGGUUAAAGGUAGAUAUGGAGUUAGGAGGCAGGUUAAGGGUAGAUAUGGAGUUAGGAGGCAGAUUAAGGGUAGAUAUGGAGUUAGGAGGCUGGUUAUUAAGGGUAGAUAUGGAGUUAGGAGGCAGGUUUAGGGUAGAUGUGGAGGCAGGAGCAGGUAAAGGGUAGAUAUGGAGGCAGGAGCAUGUAAAGGGUAGGUAUGGAGGCAGGAGCAGGUAAAGGGUAGAUAUGGAGGCAGGAGCAUGUAAAGGGUAGAUAUGGAGUUAGGAGGCAGGAGCAGGUAAAGGGUAGAUAUGUAGUUUGGAGGCAGGUUAAGGGUAGAUAUGGAGUUAAGAGACAGGAGCAGGUUAAGGGUAGAUAUGGAGGCAGGAGCAGGUUAAGGGUAGAAAUGGAGUUAGGAGGCAGGUUAAGGGUAGAUAUGGAGGCAGGAGCAGGUUAAAGGUAGAUAUGGAGUUAGGAGGCAGGUUAAGGGUAGAUAUGGAGUUAGGAGGCAGAUUAAGGGUAGAUAUGGAGUUAGGAGGCUGGUUAUUAAGGGUAGAUAUGGAGUUAGGAGGCAGGUUUAGGGUAGAUAUGGAGGCAGGAGCAGGUAAAGGGUAGAUAUGGAGUUAGGAGGCAGGAGCAGGUAAAGGGUAGAUAUGGAGUUAGGAGGCAGGUUAAGGGUAGAUAUGGAGUUAGGAGACAGGAGCAGGUAAAGGGUAGAUAUGGAGGCAGGAGCAGGUAAAGGGUAGAUAUGGAGUUAGGAGGCAGGUUAUUAUGGGUAGAUAUGGAGUUAGGAGGCAGGUUGUUAAGGGUAGAUAUAGAGUUAGGAGGCAGGUUUAGGGUAGAUAUGGAGUUAGGAGGCAGGUAAAGGGUAGAUAUGGAGUUAGGAGGCAGGUUAUUAUGGGUAGAUAUGGAGUUAGGAGGCAGGUUGAUAAGGGUAGAUAUAGAGUUAGGAGGCAGGUUUAGGGUAGAUAUGGAGUUAGGAGGCAGGUUAUUAUGGGUAGAUAUAGAGUUAGGAGGCAGGUUUAGGGUAGAUAUGGAGUUAGGAGGCAGGUUAUUAUGGGUAGAUAUGGAGUUAGGAGGCAGGUUGAUAAGGGUAGAUAUAGAGUUAGGAGGCAGGUUUAGGGUAGAUAUGGAGUUAGGAGGCUGUUUUUUUUAUUUUACCUUAAUUUAACUAGGC